UACGUAGGGUGCGAGCGUUAAUCGGAAUUACUGGGCGUAAAGCGUGCGCAGGCGGUGAUGCAAGACAGAUGUGAAAUCCCCGGGCUUAACCUGGGAAUGGCAUUUGUGACUGCAUUGCUAGAGUGUGUCAGAGGGGGGUGGAAUUCCACGUGUAGCAGUGAAAUGCGUAGAGAUGUGGAGGAAUACCGAUGGCGAAGGCAGCCCCCUGGGAUAACACUGACGCUCAUGCACGAAAGCGUGGGGAGCAAACAGG
RNAcentral lists this ribosomal RNA (253 nucleotides) under uncultured bacterium. Its description in RNAcentral is "partial 16S ribosomal RNA". It matches the Rfam family "Bacterial small subunit ribosomal RNA", at positions 524 to 776 of the family's 1533-position model. The record is from RNAcentral.